CACAAAGUAUUUUACCAACUGAGCUGAGCUCCAGUUUUCCAAUUUAUCUAAUGGUCUUUUCCUUUGUAGAUUUGCUGAUAUGAUGAAAUAAUGAAAAUAUGGAGUUCCUUGGGCAGCUCCUAUAAGAUAAGGAAUUUUGACAUUUGUUUGGAGAGCCUCACUUGACCUCUUUUUGGGGAGCUGAAUUGGACUGAACGUGAGGUACCAUUUUUUUCUCAUGAGGUACUGAGUUUUCUCAGAAAAUAGAGAAAGCUAUUUUCUCCAGACCAAAUAUGUUUA
Molecule: long non-coding RNA, 279 nt
Organism: Bos indicus x Bos taurus (hybrid cattle)
Lineage: Eukaryota; Metazoa; Chordata; Mammalia; Artiodactyla; Bovidae
Source: Ensembl